AUGCCGUCUUUGCUGAGCAUACAGCUGUAUCAUCUGCUUGUCAUCCUUGCCCAUAUAUUUGCUUACUUUGGGCCAAUUCACCCCUCAUCCUCAAACUCCAGUGGAAGUGUGUCAGAAGCUUCCAACUUUAACCAUCAUUGGAGUGGCACAUCAGUACCUAGUGAAAUACCAAACUCCUAUGCUUUUCCUGCCAUGGAUCUUCAUUAUCACAGUUGAGAGCACCAUUCCCCGCCUCCAUUUUCUACAACCAACAAUCAUAUUGGUGACGCUGACCAGGGUUCAAUUCCAUCUGUUACUCAAAGAUCUGCUAGGCCGAGCUCAGAUUUACCAAGAUCAGGAUCUUUUAUGCACCCAUUCCUUGUUGGUCACAGCUUCAAAACAUAAACCCAACAAAACAAGGUGUGUUGCAGCAGAUGAGUUGGAGCUUGUGCAGGAAAUGAUCAAAUAUCUUUUGAUGAGAACAGACCGAAAGGAUAAGCUCCCUGCUCCUUACCUUUUUAUUUUAUUUUAUUAUUUUAUU
This 520-nucleotide long non-coding RNA is filed under the name Prunus dulcis (almond). RNAcentral's name for it is "sRNA ncRNA". The record is from RNAcentral. Lineage: Eukaryota; Viridiplantae; Streptophyta; Magnoliopsida; Rosales; Rosaceae.